Molecule: non-coding RNA, 2196 nt
Organism: Saimiri boliviensis boliviensis (Bolivian squirrel monkey)
Lineage: Eukaryota; Metazoa; Chordata; Mammalia; Primates; Cebidae
Source: RefSeq, a predicted model, not a curated record
AUGUACCUAUGGGAACUGCCUAAUGGUCUGACAAUUCAUACGACAGCAAGCAAGGUGGCCUCCACGUUUCCUGAGCGACUUCUUCGCCUCUGCCUCGACCGCCCCUCGACCACAGACAAGUCUCGAGAUCGGUUCCGGAGCCGCGGCGGUGGCCUUGUGGCUUCCACAGGCGCGGAGGAGGCGGCGGCCGCGGCGGCCUCCAGGACUUCCGUUCCCCGCCGCCCCGCGAGAGCCUGAGCCAGAGCCGCGGCCCGGUGGGUCCCGGCCGGGGCCAGAGCGGCGCUAAGCCUCCGUGCGAUCCCGCCACCGCAUCCACACCAGCAGCAGCAGCAGACAGCGCCGCGGCCGCCGCCGCCGCAGCAGCCGCCGCCUCAGCCGCCGCCACCGCAGCAGCCGCCGCCGCAGCAGCCGCCACCGCAGCAGUCGCCGCCGCAUCCACAGCCGCAUCAGGCAGCCGCCGCCGCCGCCGCCGGCGCAGGACUCCGCCAAGCCCGCGGCUGCUCGGGGACCCGGCCCCGCUCCCGGACUCGGCAGCGCGUCGCCUGCCUCCAGCGCGGCCCCGCCCGCCACUCCGCCUACCUCGGGGGCCCGGCCAGGGUCCCGGCCAGGCCCGACCCCGCCGCCCGCAGUCACCUCGGCCCACCUCCGGGACACCGCCACCCAGGCCUCCCUACCACAGCUCCUCAGGCCGGAGGCCCGGGCCGGGGUCCGGGGUCUAAGCAGAGCCCAGGCCCGGGCGGUCCCAAGGGCGGCGAAAGCACUCUCAGCGGCCUAAGCACUCUCAGCGGCCACCCCAAGCCACCGGAACGAGGCGGUGGGGAGCCCCGCGGGGGCCACCUGCCUCACCCGCCCUACCUCCGGCAGCACCACCAGGGUCCCUGGCCCAGCGGACCGGGCGGCCGCAGCCAGAGGAAGAUCUCAGACUUGGAGAGGUUUAAAGCCAACUUACCUCUCUUGAGGAGGCCUGGAUAGAAAACUUCUACACAGGGAUGUUGGUCGUUGGGAAUCUACCUACCCAUAUCACGGAGGAUGAAUCAAAAGACUAUUUGCUAAAUAUGGAGAACCAGGAGAAGUUUUUCUCAACAAAGGCAAAGAAUUCGAAUGUAUUAAGCUUGAAUCUAGAGCUUUGGUGAAAUUGCCAAAGCUGAACUCAAUGAUACACCCAUGAAAGGGAGACAGCUUCGAGUUUGCUUUGCCUCACUGCUGUUGCCCUUUCUGUUCCUAAUCUUUCAACUUACAUUUCCAAUGAACUGCUGGAAGAAGCCUUUAGCCAGUUUGGUCCUAUUGAAAGGGCUGCUGUAAUGGUGGAUGAUCGUGGAAGAUCCACAGGGAAAGGCAUUGCUGAAUUUGCUUCUAUACCAGCAGCAAUAAAGGCAUUUGAACAAUGCCGUGAAGGUGUUUUCUUACUGACAACAACUCUUGGUCCAGUCAUUGUAGAACCACUUGAACAACUGAUGAAGAUGGUCUCCCUGAAAAACUUGCCCAGAAGAAUCCAAUGUAUCAAAAGGAGAGAGAAACCCCUCCUCAUUUUGCCCAGCAUGGCACAUUUGAGUACGAGUAUUCUCAGCGAUGGAAGUCUUUCAAUGAAAUAGAAAAACAGCAAAGGGAACAAGUUGAAAAAAACAUGUAGGAUGCAAAAGACAGAUUGGAAAGUGAAAUGGAAGAUGCCUGUCAUGAACAUCAGGCAAAUCUUUUGCACCGAUAUCUGAUGAGACGAAAGGAAAAAUUAAGACAUGUGGAAGAACUUCACAAUCAAGAAAUGCAGAAACGUAAAGAAAUGCAAUUGAGGCAAAAGAAGGAACGAUGUAGAAGAGAGUAAAAGAUGAUAAUUCGUCAACUUGAGAUGAAAGAACAAAUGAGGCGCCAAAGAGGAGAAAGUUACAGCGGAAUGGGCUACAUGGAUCCAAGAGAAAGAGACAUGAGAAUGGGUGGUGGAGGAACAAUGAACAUGAGAGAUCCCUAUGGUUCAGGAGGCCAGAAAUUUCCACCUCUAGGUGGUGGUGGUGGCAUAGGUUAUGAAUUUAAUCCUGGAGUUCCACCAGCAACCAUGAGUAGUUCCAUCAUGGGAAGUGACAUGCAUAGUGAACACUUUGGGCAGGGAGGUGUGGAGCCUGUGAGUGGACAGGGUCCUAGAAGAAUGGGGCCUGGAACUCCAACAGGAUAUGGUAGAGGGAGAGAAGAAGCCCAAACAAAAAA